RNAcentral lists this ribosomal RNA (497 nucleotides) under uncultured bacterium. RNAcentral describes it as "partial 16S ribosomal RNA". It matches the Rfam family "Bacterial small subunit ribosomal RNA", at positions 28 to 507 of the family's 1533-position model. The record is from RNAcentral.
GAUGAACGCUGGCGGCGUGCCUAAUACAUGCAAGUCGAGCGAACGGACGAGAAGCUUGCUUCUCUGAUGUUAGCGGCGGACGGGUGAGUAACACGUGGAUAACCUACCUAUAAGACUGGGAUAACUUCGGGAAACCGUAGCUAAUACCGGAUAAUAUUUUGAACCGCAUGGUUCAAAAGUGAAAGACGGUCUUGCUGUCACUUAUAGAUGGAUCCGCGCUGCAUUAGCUAGUUGGUAAGGUAACGGCUUACCAAGGCAACGAUGCAUAGCCGACCUGAGAGGGGGAGCGGCCACAGUGGAACUGAGACACGGUCCAGACACCGACGGGAGGAAGCAGUAGGGAAUCUUCCGCAAUGGGCGAAAGCCUGACGGUGCAACGACGCGUGAGUGAUGAAGGUCUUCGGAUCGUAAAACUCUGUUAUUAGGGAAGAACAUAUGUGUAAGGAACUGUGCACAUCUUGACGGUACCUAAUCAGAAAGACACGGCUAACUACGUG